UCCCCGAUAGUCUAGUGGUGAGAAUAUCUGCUUGUCAUUGAAGUUCGACGAUUCGCAGGGGACCGGGGUUCAAUUCCCCGUCGAGGAG
This is a transfer RNA of Colletotrichum salicis, 88 nucleotides long. It matches the Rfam family "tRNA". From Rfam's summary of the family: Transfer RNA (tRNA) molecules are approximately 80 nucleotides in length. Their secondary structure includes four short double-helical elements and three loops (D, anti-codon, and T loops). The record is from Rfam. NCBI's taxonomy places the organism in Eukaryota, Fungi, Ascomycota, Sordariomycetes, Glomerellales, Glomerellaceae.